UCUAUAUGUUUGCUACCGAUGUUAUUGUUAAGUAGCGGCGUAAAUUGUGGAACUGAAACACAUCAGAACCUGCGCCUCACAUACCGCCAGCCUAGUUCCUUCUGCUCGUGUGAGAGCAUACUCCAGCAGCUCAGUAUUCAAAUACAUGUGAAGGUUCCUGUGUGAAAUUUGUUGCUUUUCCAUUAAACACUGUUCUGAUGGUCUUUUUGGUUUUGUUUAACUAGGUUUCAGAGUUACUGAGUUAACUUCAGGUGCGCUAGCUUGAUAGGAAUAGAAAUGAGAUACGUGUUUGUUUUCUUCUGCAUUGCCAGUAAGAGAAAAUGCAUACAAACGAAAUAGUAAUGAUUACCAGAAAAGAUGAAAGAAAAGCUGCAAUACUACUAUAAUGUAGGGGGUAAAAAAAAAAAAAAAGGAGAAAAGAAAAAAGAAACACUUCAAUUACAGUUGCUUUUCUCACCAAGUAAAAGCAAAGGCCCUGUGUUGUUUAUUGCAGAGGUGGAAAGGGGGACAGGGUGCUCUUACGGCUGCUGGGCUUUAUAAAAGUUUUCACAGGGAUUUUUAAAUACUUAGCAGCUCAAGGUUGCCCACUUCUUGCUUUUUUUUCGUGAGUAUUACCAAGUUUCAGUUUUACUCAUACAGUGUUUUUCCCCUGCAGAGACCCAGCUGUUAGUCAUGUGAAUCAAACUUUCAAAAAAACAGUCUCCUGAUAUUCAUUGUGGUUUAUUUGCCUUUUCUAAAUAAUCCAAAAUAUUAACCUUUUAAAGUAUUUUGUAGCUAUGUACUUCUGAAAUUCUUCUGCAUGUUUAAAUAUUUGGUGUCAGCAUUACUCUUCUUCAAGUGUAUUCCUUAGAGAAAAUCCAAAUCUCACAGCACACAGAAAUCUCUUUUCAGGAAUAUGUUUAACAAUAACAGAACCAUGCAAUGGCCUUGCGUAUGAUAUUUCACCAUCUUGAUAAAUUAAAAAUUGUUCGAAACCGUUGAGCAAUGAGAGUUGUGAAAUAUCUACUUUAUUGAUUUGGUCCCCUGACAUUUAUUUACAUGCAGAAAUAAAGCAUGCUGUAGAUGCUUAUUUGGAAGACACUUGCAUACCUUACUAUGGUUCUCUAUUCACAGCUUUCAUCACACUUCAAUUCAGCCAAAUAACGCCCUGUGCUCCAGUCUGUGGUAGAGGAAACCCCGAAGGGACUCAUAAUAUAGCAGAGUGCUCAGUAAAUCAUCAGUUGUGUAAUUAUGCAAAAACACAUUUAGCUACUUCUGCUUGCUAUUUGGCAGCCCAACAGCCUACUAGUCAGGGAAGCACCUUCCAUUCUUGUGUUGCUGGAAUAAACCUACCAACAGUGGUACUGAAAACUGUUCCCUGUUUUUACACAUGUUGGCAUAGCCUUAAUAUCGUUGCAAAAUAUUAA
Molecule: long non-coding RNA, 1406 nt
Organism: Anser brachyrhynchus (Pink-footed goose)
Lineage: Eukaryota; Metazoa; Chordata; Aves; Anseriformes; Anatidae
Source: Ensembl